UAUGAAUCGUUUUAAGUUUGUUUAAACUUUAAACCGGAUUUAAUAAACUGCUAAUGAAUCGUUUCAGUGUUGAGCACAUACGUUAGGGAAAUCUGAUGAUAGUCGCCGAUGUCGCAGAAAUCUGGUUCUCCUAGAAAACUGGUUCCCACAGGCUAUUUAUAACUUAUUAUAUGAGGAAUCUAGAACUCUGGUUCCGACUAAAAUAACACUUGUUGGAUGCGACAUUUUUCAUUUUCGCGACACUGGACCAGUCUGAGUCUACUAUGCAGAAAUUCUAGGACGGUGCUCGUACUAUCUGAACUUUGGUGUAAAAUCGACCCCUUUCUUCGUUACCCAACAGCAUUCCACGAAAUAUAAACAUUCGGGAUUUUUUUAAACUUGUCAAAUAAAAUGUUCUAAU
Molecule: non-coding RNA, 400 nt
Organism: Ciona intestinalis (vase tunicate)
Lineage: Eukaryota; Metazoa; Chordata; Ascidiacea; Phlebobranchia; Cionidae
Source: RefSeq, a predicted model, not a curated record